GACGAACGCUGGCGGCGUGCUUAACACAUGCAAGUCGAACGGAAAGGCCCUGCUUUUGUGGGGUGCUCGAGUGGCGAACGGGUGAGUAACACGUGAGUAACCUGCCCUUGACUUUGGGAUAACUUCAGGAAACUGGGGCUAAUACCGGAUAGGAGCUCCUGCUGCAUGGUGGGGGUUGGAAAGUUUCGGCGGUGGGGGAUGGACUCGCGGCUUAUCAGCUUGUUGGUGGGGUAGUGGCUUACCAAGGCUUUGACGGGUAGCCGGCCUGAGAGGGUGACCGGCCACAUUGGGACUGAGAUACGGCCCAGACUCCUACGGGAGGCAGCAGUGUGGAAUAUUGCACAAUGGGCGGAAGCCUGAUGCAGCAACGCCGCGUGCGGGAUGACGGCCUUCGGGUUGUAAACCGCUUUCGCAUGUGACGAAGCGUGAGUGACGGUAAUGGGUAAAGAAGCACCGGCUAACUACGUG
RNAcentral lists this ribosomal RNA (468 nucleotides) under uncultured bacterium. RNAcentral's name for it is "partial 16S ribosomal RNA". It matches the Rfam family "Bacterial small subunit ribosomal RNA", at positions 28 to 507 of the family's 1533-position model. The record is from RNAcentral.